RNAcentral lists this ribosomal RNA (503 nucleotides) under uncultured bacterium. RNAcentral's name for it is "partial 16S ribosomal RNA". It matches the Rfam family "Bacterial small subunit ribosomal RNA", at positions 30 to 523 of the family's 1533-position model. The record is from RNAcentral.
AUUGAACGCUGGCGGCAGGCUUAACACAUGCAAGACGAGCGGGGUGAUGGUGCUUGCACUAUCACUUAGCGGCGGACGGGUGAGUAAUGCUUAGGAAUCUGCCUAUUGGUGGGGGACAACAUCUCGAAAGGGAUGCUAAUACCGCAUACGUCCUACGGGAGAAAGCAGGGGAUCACUUGUGACCUUUCGCUAAUAGAUGAGCCUAAGUCGGAUUAGCUAGUUGGUGGGGUAAAGGCCUACCAAGGCGACGAUCUGUAGCUGGUCUGAGAGGAUGAGCCGCAAGACUGGGACUGGGACACGGCCCAGACUCCUACGGGAGGCAGCAGUGGGUAAUAUUGGACAAUGGGGGGAACCCUGAUCCAGCCAUGACGCGUGUGUGAAGAAGGCCUUAUGGUUGUAAAGCACUUUAAGCGAGGAGGAGGCUCUUUUGGUUAAUACCCAAGAUGAGUGGACGUUACUCGCAGAAUAAGCACCGGCUAACUCUGUGCCAGCCGCCGCCGUAA